Molecule: ribosomal RNA, 419 nt
Filed under: bacterium
Lineage: Bacteria
Description: partial 16S ribosomal RNA
Rfam family: Bacterial small subunit ribosomal RNA
Source: RNAcentral
UGGGGGAUAUUGCACAAUGGGCGAAAGCCUGAUGCAGCGACGCCGCGUGGGGGAUGAAGGCCUUCGGGUUGUAAACUUCUUUUGCUCUGAACAAGGCGCACCAUGGGGUGUGUUGAGUGUAGGGGUUGAUUAGCGCCGGCUAACUACGUGCCAGCAGCCGCGGUCAUACGUAGGGCGCGAGCGUUGUCCGGAAUUAUUGGGCGUAAAGGGCUUGUAGGUGGCUGGUUGCGUCUGUCGUGAAAGCUCAUGGCUUAACUGUGGGUUUGCGGUGGGUACGGGCUGGCUUGAGUGCAGUAGGGGAGGCUGGAAUUCCUGGUGUAGCGGUGGAAUGCGCAGAUAUCAGGAGGAAUACCGGUGGCGAAGGCGGGUCUCUGGGCUGUUACUGACACUGAGGAGCGAAAGCAUGGGGAGCGAACAGG